CCUUGUAAACCAGAAUCGCUUUGGAGAGGCCUCGGGGGCAGGUGCCAUUUGCAGUUCUGGUGUUUUCCGUGGGUUGUGUGUGUGGCUUGGGUGCCCUGUCCCCUGGAGGAAGGAGUGUCUGGUAGCUGCUCCUCCAGCCUCUGGUGAGCCGCACCUCCCGCCAUCCCAGCCCCACCCAGCAGGUCGGCUUGGAGUGAGGCGAUUACUUUGUACCUAGACUCUGACAUAAAAGCUGUUAGCUCAGAUUUUUCAACUUAAAAAUGCAGGCCGGGUGCAGCGGCUCAUGCCUAUAAUCCCAGCACUUUGGGAGGCUGGGGCAGGAAGAUGGCUUGAGCCCAGGAGUUGGAGACCAGCCUGGGCAACACAGCGAGAAUCUGUCUCUAACAAGAUGUUUUUUACAUUAGCUAGGUGUGGUGCUGCACAUCUGCAGUCUCAGCUUCUCGGGAAGAUCGCCUGAGCCUGGGAGUUCGAGGCUACAGUGAGCUGUGACUGUGCCACUGCACUGCAGCCUGGGUGACAGAGUGAAACCCUGUCUCUAAAAGUUAAAAUUAAAACGCAAACUUAAAUGUGCCAAAAUGUUGUUUUUUAGACAUGCAAGAAAGCACUUCAGCCAAGCAGAAGGGAGCCAGCUGGACGAGGUGCGCCAGGCCAUGGGCAUGCUGGCCUUCCCGCCCGACACGCACAUCUCCCCGUACAAGGACCUUCUGGACCCUGCACGGUGGCGGAUGCUGAUCCAGCAGUUCCGGUACGACAACUACCGACUACACCAGCUGGGAAACAACUCUGUGUUCACCCUCACUCUGCAGGCCGGCCUCUCAGCCAUCAAGACACCACAGUGCUACAAGGAGGACGGCAGCUCCAAGAGCCCUGACUGCCCUGUGUGCAGCCGCUCCCUGAACAAGCUGGCGCAGCCCCUGCCCAUGGCCCACUGUGCCAACUCCCGCCUGGUCUGCAAGAUUUCUGGCGACGUGAUGAACGAGAACAAUCCGCCCAUGAUGCUGCCCAACGGCUACGUCUACGGCUACAAUUCUCUGCUUUCUAUCCGUCAAGAUGAUAAAGUCGUGUGCCCGAGAACCAAAGAAGUCUUCCACUUCUCACAAGCCGAGAAGGUGUACAUCAUGUAGGCCCCACGUCGUGAAGCGCACGCCUCGGGGACGGGCUGCAGCGGGCGGGGAGGCCACGCCUUCCUCCUGUCCCACGCUCCAGCCUGCCGCGGCGUUUCUGUCUCUUGCGACCAAAGAUCCGUGAGCAACGAUAAAUACUCUUAGGAAGAGAGAAAAUAAGGUUUCAUAAGUUUGUACUUGAAAACAUUUGGAUUGGUAGGAUUUUGUAACACGUCAACCAUUUGAUGCUUCUGAAAAGUACUUUCAACUUGCGAAGGAAACUUCUUUAAAGACUGACCUAAACACCGAGGGAAACUUUAGAACGUUUAAAAUAUAGGAGUGCGUGAUUUCCCUGUGUUUUCAGUUUCUUUCCUUCUGUGAACGAUGAGACUUGGAGAACGGGCUGGUCCUUCACCACUUCCUGUUGGCCCUGGCCCGGCCGGGGAAGGUGGCAGCGGCACUGGACUGACCUGCAGUGACCCGCGAUGCCGCGCCACGAGGGACACUUAUGGCUUCAUUCGAGAGCUGCUGCCAAAACGCCUGGCGCCGCCACCGUCAGGGGCUGGCUUCGAGGACGCCCGCCUGCCUCGCGGGCCGUGUCUGCGGGACUGUGUUCGUACGUGCAUAGUUUCGAUAUCACAUCGCGGGGCUGUGUUCGUAGCUGCGUCGUUUCGAUAUCACACCCUCUGUGUGCCGCCUUACUUCCUGCUUCGAGAAUGUAUAACGUGGAAAUCCACGGGACCAAGUUUCUGCAGAGGCCUUGCCGGAUGGUUCCAUAACUGUAGAGUCUAAUUGCUAUCCAUUACAGAAAUUAAUCGUUCAGUUGAAAGAAGUACUGAUGACUUUUCAAAACAAAUGAACCACCGUAGCUGACAGAGAACCGUAUCGUAGAGGUUUGUAGUUAGUGCUUAUUUUUGCAUGUUGAUGUUGACUAGCUAAUAAACUGUAAAUGUAAACCAUGCG
Molecule: small RNA, 2066 nt
Filed under: Pan troglodytes (chimpanzee)
Lineage: Eukaryota; Metazoa; Chordata; Mammalia; Primates; Hominidae
Description: retained intron
Source: RNAcentral